This 588-nucleotide ribosomal RNA is filed under the name Salmonella enterica subsp. enterica serovar Hadar. RNAcentral's name for it is "partial 23S ribosomal RNA". It matches the Rfam family "Bacterial large subunit ribosomal RNA", at positions 711 to 1295 of the family's 2925-position model. Lineage: Bacteria; Pseudomonadati; Pseudomonadota; Gammaproteobacteria; Enterobacterales; Enterobacteriaceae. The record is from RNAcentral.
AGACCCGAAACCCGGUGAUCUAGCCAUGGGCAGGUUGAAGGUUGGGUAACACUAACUGGAGGACCGAACCGACUAAUGUUGAAAAAUUAGCGGAUGACCUGUGGCUGGGGGUGAAAGGCCAAUCAAACCGGGAGAUAGCUGGUUCUCCCCGAAAGCUAUUUAGGUAGCGCCUCGUGAAUUCAUCUCCGGGGGUAGAGCACUGUUUCGGCUAGGGGGCCAUCCCGGCUUACCAACCCGAUGCAAACUGCGAAUACCGGAGAAUGUUAUCACGGGAGACACACGGCGGGUGCUAACGUCCGUCGUGAAGAGGGAAACAACCCAGACCGCCAGCUAAGGUCCCAAAGUCAUGGUUAAGUGGGAAACGAUGUGGGAAGGCCCAGACAGCCAGGAUGUUGGCUUAGAAGCAGCCAUCAUUUAAAGAAAGCGUAAUAGCUCACUGGUCGAGUCGGCCUGCGCGGAAGAUGUAACGGGGCUAAACCAUGCACCGAAGCUGCGGCAGCGACGCUGAUGCGUUGUUGGGUAGGGGAGCGUUCUGUAAGCCUGUGAAGGUGUGUCGUGAGGCAUGCUGGAGGUAUCAGAAGUGCGAAU